GCUGGCGGCGUGCCUAAUACAUGCAAGUCGAGCGAAUGGAUUGAGAGCUUGCUCUCAAGAAGUUAGCGGCGGACGGGUGAGUAACACGUGGGUAACCUGCCCAUAAGACUGGGAUAACUCCGGGAAACCGGGGCUAAUACCGGAUAAUAUUUUGAACUGCAUGGUUCGAAAUUGAAAGGCGGCUUCGGCUGUCACUUAUGGAUGGACCCGCGUCGCAUUAGCUAGUUGGUGAGGUAACGGCUCACCAAGGCAACGAUGCGUAGCCGACCUGAGAGGGUGAUCGGCCACACUGGGACUGAGACACGGCCCAGACUCCUACGGGAGGCAGCAGUAGGGAAUCUUCCGCAAUGGACGAAAGUCUGACGGAGCAACGCCGCGUGAGUGAUGAAGGCUUUCGGGUCGUAAAACUCUGUUGUUAGGGAAGAACAAGUGCUAGUUGAAUAAGCUGGCACCUUGACGGUACCUAACCAGAAAGCCACGGCUAACUACGUGCCAGCAGCCGCGGUAAUAC
Molecule: ribosomal RNA, 511 nt
Filed under: uncultured marine bacterium
Lineage: Bacteria
Description: bacterial SSU rRNA
Rfam family: Bacterial small subunit ribosomal RNA
Source: RNAcentral